This 717-nucleotide ribosomal RNA is filed under the name uncultured bacterium. RNAcentral describes it as "bacterial SSU rRNA". It matches the Rfam family "Bacterial small subunit ribosomal RNA", at positions 469 to 1185 of the family's 1533-position model. The record is from RNAcentral.
GUGACGGUACCUGCAGAAGAAGCGCCGGCUAACUACGUGCCAGCAGCCGCGGUAAUACGUAGGGCGCAAGCGUUAUCCGGAAUUAUUGGGCGUAAAGAGCUCGUAGGCGGUUUGUCGCGUCUGCCGUGAAAGUCCGGGGCUUAACCCCGGAUCUGCGGUGGGUACGGGCAGACUAGAGUGCAGUAGGGGAGACUGGAAUUCCUGGUGUAGCGGUGAAAUGCGCAGAUAUCAGGAGGAACACCGAUGGCGAAGGCAGGUCUCUGGGUAGUAACUGACGCUGAGGAGCGAAAGCAUGGGUAGCGAACAGGAUUAGAUACCCUGGUAGUCCAUGCCGUAAACGGUGGGCGCUAGGUGUGGGGUUCCUUCCACGGGCUCCGCGCCGUAGCUAACGCAUUAAGCGCCCCGCCUGGGGAGUACGGCCGCAAGGCUAAAACUCAAAGAAAUUGACGGGGGCCCGCACAAGCGGCGGAGCAUGUGGAUUAAUUCGAUGCAACGCGAAGAACCUUACCUGGGCUUGACAUAUAGAGGAUCGCUACAGAGAUGUGGUUUCCCUUGUGGCUUCUAUACAGGUAGUGCAUGGUUGUCGUCAGCUCGUGUCGUGAGAUGUUGGGUUAAGUCCCGCAACGAGCGCAACCCUUGUCUUAUGUUGCCAGCACGUUAUGGUGGGGACUCGUGAGAGACUGCCGGGGUCAACUCGGAGGAAGUGGGGGAUGACGU